CAUGGGUUUUUUUAAAUUUUGGCACCUGCUAAAUAUAAUACACAAUGCUUAAGUUAUCGGAAAUGGGUUGUCUACCUUUCUACUACUUUUCAUCAGAAAUCUAGGCAUGCAAACUGGGGUUGAUGCCGUGUUUAGACUGAUUGAUGGGUAGAUAGAUAGAUGGAGAGAGAGGAGGACGAAUGGAGGGACGCCCGAGGAGGAUGAUUUCGAACCUGUGGUCGCAGAGUGAGAGAACCAGUCAUCCGCGUGAUGCAGCAACAGUAGCAGCUGUUGCUCACACCGAGAAGGGCGGGGGACCGUUAUCCAGACCGACGCAUCGGACUGUCCUUUGCAUGAUUAGAUGAUAAGAUAUAGGAGGGGUGGGGAGGGAAUCAGGGACGGAGCUGCUGCGAUGUGGAAAUCAGAAGAGGCACGCAGCCAGUCCCUCAUCAUGUGCGCAGUGCUGUAGAGACCCCAGGUGCCCAAGUGGCCGACUUACGGGGCCGACCGAUCUCGCGGGACGCACGGUGCCGCGCGCAGCACGAGCUUCCGUUGUUUAAUACCACAGUGCGCUGGCUUUCCCGAAGAGGAGGUCUCGAUGGGUAGCCCCGAAAAUCCAUGAGUCAGUGGACUUGACAGUUCAUUCAGGUUAUACAAGCAUAAAAUAGUGCAGAAUAGUCAGUCGAUGCCUUGAUUAUGCUCCAGUCACCUCUGGUAAGCCGGGGCAUGUCGCCGUGAACGUAUCUCACGUGGCCAGUGUCGCGGGAUUGUACUAGAAACUGACUGAGUGUAUAAGUAGAAACUGUACGAUGGGAGCCAGAGUAUCUGGAUUGGAGUGUUUUUUCAGUAACUUUGAAUGCUGUCUCACUGUUGUCUUUGUCAUCAAUUCUAGGUGGGAUGUGCAUGUAGAUGUCUUCGGUUAGUAUUUUUUUUUACGAAUGUUGUUAUUGCAUUGAAUUGACCAAGACUCUAUCUUUUCUGAGCUGUUAAUCCGAUGAAUGACUCUAAUUGUGCUCCAACAUACCACAAUUGGAAAUGUGUCAAAGAAUUCUCCUUCCUUUUCUUGAUAACGUAAUCCAAGUAAUCUUGCAUACUUCUUAACUGGUUGUCUGCUUUUGUCUCUUUCUAUUUUGAAGAUCCAUUUGGCUUGAAUGGCUUUUUCUACAGGAAGAAAGAUUGUAUGUUAUCCAAGUUUUGUUUUUCUAUAGCAAGUCUUUUUUUCUUUUUUCUUUUUUUUUUGGAUUGAUGCACUCCAUUUAGGAUCCAAAACUGCUUCUUCGUAGUUAAGUUCAUCUGGUUUGGUGAUCAAUGCAUAGUAGUCUUUGAAUUAUCUUGGGGGUCUUCAAUUUUGAGUUGGUCUAGGGUUUGAUGUCAAAUAUUGAGUAUUUAAACUUUUCUUCAUCGGUUUCCUGCACGACUUGGUUGUCUGUGCUUGGUUCUAAUGGAUUCACGAUGUUAGGAUUUUCCAGUAAGAUACCCUGUUUGAAGCUGAUGGAUUGUGCUGGUGGGCUUAUGUUUGUGAGUUCCAAAUGUUGGUUUUUCUACGUGUGAGGACAAAUCAAGAGCUUCAUCUUGCAAGUGAAUUAGAUUGUUUUUUUAUAGGUAGAUUCAAUUUUUCAGUCACAAGAAGAGGAAAUGCUAGGUCCUUAGGAAUCUGGAUCAGAGGUAGGUCAGUCAACCCCAAUUUGCUUUAUUUGCAUAUCACAUCUCCACUUUAUCAUAAUUUUUCUUUUAAGUGGGUAAAAUAGUCUGUCAGCUUUGCCAUUAGAAUCAUAACUCUUAAAGAGACAUUGAAUAGUCUUUCUUUUUAGUUUGUUUUGUUUUUGUUUUGGAAUACGUGAAAAGGCAAGGCAACCAAAACUAAGGAAGUUUAACAAAACACCAACAAUACAAUCAAGACUACAUCCUAUUUUACAUUCGUGAUUAGUGUCUUGACUGUUCGAGCUUAAGUACAGAUCAGCAGCGGGUAAUCAAAGUCUCAGUUGUUCAAAAUUAGGGCUAUGGUAACAUCUGAACAAACUAAGCUUGGUACACGUGUCGUUAUCUCAAGAUACGAUCGAACAGUGAUUCUCUCGUCCAAAGUGCUGAAAGUUCUAGAACAGAACGUGGAUGAGUACGUUUCAUUUUAACAGUAAGGUGUCAAAGUGUACUUCUAGCAAGUUUGUGCUAGUCAACUGGGUGACGGUUCUGAAUCCAAAAAAUAAACACUCACUUGCAAGUAUGCUAUUGCAAAAUGUCAACGUCCGUAAUUUCUCAUUCGGCACUGAAAUAACUGCAUUGAUGAAUGGUGUACCCUUGAUUCAUAGCAGCUCCUUCACACAGCAAGCGGGUUGUAACCAACAUGCGAGUGCAGUUUACAGAUGGUGGUGACCAAGAGAUUUAUCGGUGCUGACAACAUCAGAGUUCUAAGGGAGGCUUCGUGAUGUUGGUGUCGGUGUGUUACGCUCUCUCCACAUAGAUAAGUAUCAAGUGACAUCCAAAAUUUACUUCGGCUACACUGAGUGAAGGAAGGGGAUGUAUACAAUCAUGUAUUGUUUAUUUCUCUUACCGUUUACUAUACUAUUGUUAACGUGGACAUUUGAUUUUUAAGAGUUCGUUGCACGUUAUUACAGUUACAAAAGAUGAGCAGUGGUACUUAAAAUACAGAUGAUACAAAUCGAGAUUUGCAGGUAAAGAUGUUUCAAUCCAUAGAAAAUGUAAUUGAUAAUAUUCACAUUGCACAAGAGUUGCAGGCCCUUAGUUUACAAAUGUGACCAAACGGACGUGCAUUAUAAUAAACUUAUAAAUUUUCC
Long non-coding RNA from Physcomitrium patens, 2771 nucleotides. RefSeq lists it as uncharacterized. The record is from RefSeq and is a predicted model, not a curated record. Lineage: Eukaryota; Viridiplantae; Streptophyta; Bryopsida; Funariales; Funariaceae.